Molecule: ribosomal RNA, 508 nt
Filed under: uncultured bacterium
Lineage: Bacteria
Description: bacterial SSU rRNA
Rfam family: Bacterial small subunit ribosomal RNA
Source: RNAcentral
AGAGUUUGAUUAUGGCUCAGGAUGAACGCUGGCGGCGUGCUUAACACAUGCAAGUCGAACGGAGUUUUAAACGGAAGUUUUCAGAUGGAAGUUUAGAAACUUAGUGGCGGACGGGUGAGUAACGCGUGGGUAACCUGCCUCAUACAGGGGGAUAACAGUUAGAAAUGACUGCUAACACCGCAUAAUAUAGCGAAACCGCAUGAUUUUGCUAUCAAAUAUUUAUAGGUAUGAGAUGGGCCCGCGUCUGAUUAGCUAGUUGGUGGGGUAAAGCCUACCAAGGCGACGAUCAGUAGCCGGCUUGAGAGAGUGACCGGCCACAUUGGGACUGAGACACGGCCCAAACUCCUACGGGAGGCAGCAGUGGGGAAUAUUGGACAAUGGGGGAAACCCUGAUCCAGCGACGCCCGCGUGAGUGAAGAAGUAUUUCGGUAUGUAAAGCUCUAUCAGCAGGGAAGAUAAUGACAGUACCUGACUAAGAAGCCCCGGCUAACUACGUGCCAGCAGCAGC